AGCUUCCUGGGGGCUGCGCAGGGCUGGGGUGGCGGGGGGACCCUGCCCGCAGCCUUCGCCACGCUGGGGCUCCCAGGGUGCUGGUGAGAGCUGCGAGGGGCUGCCCCCUCCUCGCCCUGCCGGGGGUCAGCUCUGCCGACAGCCCGGUUUUCCUGGUGUUUUUUUCCUGUCCUGGGGAGGCUGGUUGCAAAUCUGGUUCAAGACCUGGAAUUUGUUCUCUGGAGCCCUGGAUGGUCUGGGAGUCAAGAAAAUUCAAAACAUCUGGAAACUAAGGACUUCGUUGUGUGCAGCGCUUCCAGCCUGAGUCCCAACAAGCCCAGAGAACUCCUGCUUUCCUGGCGGUGGAUGCAACAGAGAGGCUGGAUUAACAGGAUGGAGGAGCCUGACUCGGGGCCAGACUCUGCUGCCUAAUUGUAGAUGCCACCAGGUGGAUGAAGGGGCCCCAGCUCCCUGCGGACAGAGUGGUUCCUCCAUGUGGUUCCUCACCUCCUAAGGAGGAGACCCAUAGCUGGUGAACAUCUGAGGCUACAUUUGUUAGGAGAUUCUGAAGCUCUUUCUGCAUUUCCUUGCUGAUCUCAGGAAGUUGCCAAAAAUCUCCCUGUGCAACUCAACUUACCUUCACAGCGCUUUGCUUGCUGGAAACACCUGGUAUGUGCCUGGGUGUGAGUGUGGCUUGUGUGUCCCACAUCUGAGCAGUCACAAGUGUCGGGAUGCCCCUGCAAGGUGCCAGUUUGCAGCACACCAGGGGACGGAGGAGGUGAUGCCCACACGAGACACAUGGCGCCUUGGCAGGGCACCCAGCUUUGCUGAUUUUUCAUGGAGAAGUGAAGGUAAAUGAAAGCCAGGUCAGAGGCCGUGCUGCUUGCCCGGCAUGUGUGCCCUCUCCCUCUCGCUGCCCUAAAAGCCCUGUGUGAGGCUGGAGAGGCACAGAGGUUGUGUGAGGUCUGCUGGGGGGUUUAGGGCUGGAAGAGACCCGUGGGUAUGGCUGUGGCAGGGCUCCUCCUGCAGAUGCUGCUACUGCCGGCAACAAAGGUUUCCCAUAAGCAGCUUUGGGUGGCUUCCCCCUGUCCUGUGGGUGGCCAUCCUGUGGCAGGGGAGCACCUGCUGCGGUUGGGGAGCGUGGAGCCAUGGGAUGGUUGCAGGGAUGAUUGCAGUGCCAGGACGGGAGAGGGAACUGAACGUUGCGAGCAACUGGGAGGCAAACCACCCAAAAGCCAAGGGAAGAAGUGGGGAGGUAGCAAAACCACAGAUCUGUUUAGCGAGCAGUGACACAGUGUUGGCCGGGUUUCAGUUCCCCACGAGAUGGAGACAGCACCGCUGGUUUCAGUUACUUUCCAACUGUGGUGCAGGAACAAUUUGUCUUAAUAAAUUGCAAGGAAUAAUGCAAUAGGACAGAGCUCUCAAGUGGGUGUGAGGGUUUUGAUGUGAACCAUGGGAUGAAUGUUAACAAACAGAUCAUGUUGUUAUUGCUUGCUCUUGGUUCGUGACCUGGGCUCCAUGGCCCUUCGUGGCCUCUGUGCCCCAAACUAUAAGCUGAUGCUGUCUGAUCUCCAUGGACCAGUUUCUUUGAUGGUGUCUGUGGUUUAUGUGAUGGGGAUUCAUUGCUGUGCUGCAGUGUGGAGGUAAGCUGGUCCCUCCAUCCCACCAAGAAGGCAUCCAGGGAAGCAUGUUGUUAGCAUGAGCAUUGGCACAGUGAAACUGCUAACAGAGGGGAGAGGCUUUUUUCCUCCUUCACAGAAAUAAAAGCAUCAUUUAUACAGCUUUCAGCUCUGCUGGUGCUUUUCUGCAGCAAAAUGCUUCAGCCUUCCUCCUGUGCCGCUUACCUAUGGACUGGGUCAAUAGCUUCAGGACAUCCUAGGGAGUGCAGUCUCAAGAGCCCAGACAUCAUACCUGCCUCUGCCACUGCUCUCUUCUGUGGCCUUGGUCAUGUUCACCGAUGUGAUGUGGGCUGUCUUUUGGUGUGCCAUGCACGGCACAGGAAAGCUGUUCCUGGCAAUUGUAACGCAGCUGGCAGGAGACUGGGCUUUGCUGAAUGUUUUGCGUGCACUCUAAUGUAGCUAGUAACUGGAGAAGCAUGAGGCACAGGAUCAAUGUCAAAGAUUGCCAACAGCAAAGGGAAAUGUGCUGAGAAAUGUAUGUGAAUGCCAGUACUUUGGCAUGUUAUUUAAAACAGUGGCCGGUCGCAGUAACAGGCCAUCUUGCUCUCAUUCUGGCCUCUUUUAAUCGCAGUUUCAGGAUUUUUAUUAUUUUUUUUUUAAUUUUUUUAAAAAACGUACGCCAUGUUCCCAAGUAGUGCAAAUGAGCUGCCUCUCUUCUGAGCUGCUCUGCUGUUGCUGUCGUGUACUUCAGGAGACUGGACAGCCCGCUAUGGUCUGGGGACUCAUCCUGCAGCCACCAUCACUCUGUGGGGCUCUGCACUGUAAAUGCAAUAGGUGGAAGAAGAGAUCAUUCGUGAUUCUUCGUGAACAUGAAGAGCCGCUCUCUGUUCAUUUCUCCUGCCUUGCAGACCUGUCUCAUCUGCUUUCACCUGCAUCUCAAUCUCCCUCCUCUUCCUAGCCCGAUGGAGAGCAAACGGUGAAAUAGAAAAAGCAGUGCUAAUGAUCACAGCCCCACUACUAUUUUAUUUCCAAUUGGCAGCUCAUGCAAGCAGCCCUAUUUUCUGUUCUAAUAGGAAACUUUAUGAUGUACCAAAUUACCCUGUAAUAGCCUGCGCUGGGUUGCCUCCUGAAAGGUAAACGAUUUUGAUUUUUUUAUGAUCGGUUAUUAUGACUUUUUUGCCUAUUCCAUAAAAAAGAGGGAGAUUGCAUUAAAGAGACCCUAAGGUUGCAAACUGGAGCUGCUGGGAGCCAGGUGGUGCCGCAGGAUUGCUGCAGGUGUAGGGCAGGGGACUGCACAGCUGCCCGGCAGUGGCUGGUGACCAUGUCCCCUUCUCGCUGCUGGCCGUCACCUCCCGUGUCCCCUUCUCGCUGCUGGCCGUCAUCUCCCGGGGGCUGGCACAGGCGUGCUGCAGCUGAGGGCUCUCCUGGAUGCUGAUGAUGGGUGGAAGAAACUGCCUGGCAGCACACAGGGGAGGGUUCGGGGGCACGCAAAGCCCAGGAUGCUCUGCAUGUUGCGGAGUGCCAUCUCCUGGCUUGCCACGAAUUAACGGGGACUCCGCAGCUCCGCACCCACCGCAGGGAGCCCCGGGCAGCUGCUCCUGCUCCCUCCAGGCUGGUGUCCUGGCGAGGAGAUUAUCCAGAGAGGUUGGCAGCAGCAGGAGAUGGGAGCACUUAAUCCAGAGCUGCUCUCCCGUGCUAGUUAGGGAGUGCUCAUUUCCUGGUAAUGGCUUUGUUUUAAUUAGGAUAGCUGAGCCCUUGCGCAUCCCAAGUUAGAAGUGAUACAACCCUGUGAAGUCCCAUUAGCAUUUUCUGCUGCAUUCUGCAGUGGAGAAGCAGCAGGGAGGUGUGGGAUGUGAUCCAGGGAGGGAUUAGGCAGGAAACUUCCCACGGGCAUUAAUGGACAUCCCUUUUAUUUUAGCUGAAAUCGGGCGCCUAAGUACCUUUCUGGUCCUGCAUGAAGGUGACUGCAAAGACCACUCUCAGUGUCUGGUCGUAUUUGUAAAGAUCUGUGAUUUGGGGUUUUUGUAGCUGGACCUGGCUGGUGAACCGGAGACAGAGAAGAACUGGAGCAGGAAAGGUGAAGUCCUACCUGGUAGCAAUUUCUCCUGUCCCAUGGUAUGGUAAGGGCUGAUUUUCCUCACCGAGGAAUCGCUGUCCUGUAUUGGUCUGUAUCAGGUGCUUUUAAUCACUGCCUGUAACAGUGAUUAAAAUUUCCAUCAGUUGAUGUCAACUCUGAUAAAUGUGACUUCAAAAUAUGAAACCAUUUAUGUGAAAAAGAUUUAAACUCGGUCCAGUGAAUGCACUUUUCAUUUUUUAAAAAUUAUUCAUAUUUUUCCUGUAACUAAAAAUUGUUUGAAAAAUCUGCUGGAUCUAUCACUAGUUAGCUCAACAGAAAAAGGAGAUCUGUAAUGGUGAAAAAACAGCAAUGAUUUUGUGAAAAAUUAUUAUACACUUUCCACUGAAGUGCUUUGUGAAACCUGGGAUUAAAAAGAUUAUAGAAUUUUGCAAUACCGUUUUACUUUCGGUUGAAAAAAUGACAUUUAAAUAUGUCUGGCUUUAGCAUCAAAACCCAUACUUAGAAGGGUGACCAUCAUUGCCGAUUACUGUAGCUGUGUGGAUAAUAAUGUGAUUUCGAUGAUGCUUUUUGUUUUGCCUGGUAACACAGCUCCAGAGCAGGGCAGCCCCAUUGGUGCCUGCUGCGCCGCUCACUCCCCCUCUUGUAUACGCAUCCGUGAGAGCGAGUGAGCUAGCUCAGAGACAGCUCUCCAAUCAUUUGAAUAAAGGGGGAUUUAAUGGAGCUAUAUAUGUAUUUAUAGUAACUUCUGUUGCUUGCCUGUUUUAAUAGACUGUCACUACUAUCUAACAGCAAAUCACAUUCCAGGUGUGCUUUGCGGCACAGAUGCUAAAUGGGCUGGGUACCCGUUUGUUUCCUGGGCACAGCCUCCAGUGCCCUGGACGCUGGGACAGUCCCUGGGCUGAGCUAUACUGGGGGGGGUGGUGGCCGGUGCAUGGGUGCAUGGUGGGUUGGAAAUGGGACCCUGUGGGUUAGCUUGAGGGUCUCAGAGGUGACUAAGAACAGCCAGCAUUGGUUCCCAAGGCUCCACAACUCUGCUUGGAAAGCUUUUGGGGUGGCCCGUUGGAAGGUGACAAGCUGCUUCUGCCCAUCCAUCUAUCUAACUAAUUCCAAAAUAGCCCAUGGAAACCAGUUCUCUCUGGAGAAGCCGAAGAUCCAUUUCAGCAUGUCUGGUUUGAAGAUCCCUGCCCCAGCUGCAGCCCCCAGCCCGCGUCUACCUGACUCACCACGGUGGUGCGGGCAGGCUGUUGCCCACGUGGGCAUCCUCCUUCAGAGAGCGCUUUCCACGGAGCCCAGGCACGGUGCUGUCCUCCGGGGAAACCAGCGGGACUUCACAGCAGAAAGAAAUAGAAAGCAGAUCCUCGGGCUUUUAAAAUUUAGUGCUGAGAGUGAUGAAAGAAAGGGCAAUAAUUCUUUUAGAUUCACUUACUGUCCAACUUUCAGAGACAAGAUUACUCACCCUUUCCCUGCGGAGAGGGCAGAAAUGAACAUCAGGUGCUCUGACACAGUUUAGGCAAUUACCCAACCCUGGUCUGGCUGUGUAACACCAGUGAGCGUUUUUUUGCAGCUAUAGUUAUGCAGACCCUAAGACAGAUCUCCUGGUAGGGAGCCGGAGUGGCAGAAAGUGGAGCGGGCUGGGAGCUGAGCCCUCUGUGUUCAGCAGUGACUUUGCCCACCUUUAACUCGUCUCUUCCCUUAGUUCUUUACACCUACCAACACCCUGCUUUGGUUUCUUUAAAAGCUGUCUGUUUAUUAUAUGUGGGUGAAAUCUGGUCAUGCUGUACUGUUUAUUAGUCCAAAACUGAGGUCAGGCAGGUUGGAUUUCUUUCCCGAGUGCUUUUAUAAUAUUUGUGUUAGCUGGGCAGCUAAGUGCUGUCAGAUGUAGCGGCAAUGGAGCUUGCUGCUGUUGAAAUUUUUAUGGUUUCAUGCAUUUUACAGCAUCACCUGUCAGACUCCAGCAAUCAUGAUGUCACCUGUAGUGGAAUAUAUAAAUUUGAACAGAGGAGGCUGGAGCUAGGGGACUUCUUCAGUAAUCUGGGCUCCUUUCUCCCCUCCCUCUCUGGUGGAGAGGCUGGGAGGUCUUAAGGCACAGCGAAAGAAAAGGCGCAGACCUCUCCCCUCCCCUGGGCUUUGCCCCAGCCGUUCUGCAUGAUCUGGGCAAAAUCGCUGCCUUCACUCCGGCUGUAGUUUCCAUACUGCCUCUUUGUUUUGCUGGCUGUGUCUCUGGGGAUAUGGUCUCCUGUAUUCAUCCCGAGACAUGGGAAAGGCUCGCUCGGCACAGGGAGUCUCCAAUGGCUGCGCUGUAGUCUGGUACCCCAUGUGUGUGGGAUGGAGACGCCAGAUCUGGCAGCAGAAGCGGGUGCCGUGAGGGCUGGCAGGGAAGGACGGGAGGAAGAGUGGCUUUGCCGGGCAAAUGUUUAAGCAUUUGUGAAGGGGGCAAUGGGACAGGACUUGUUCUCCGUGAAUAAGUGAGGACAGCACACCUGGGGUGCCCUCCGCCUGCUGCGCUGAUGGUCUGUGGCCAGCGCUGCUCCUGCCCUCCUCCUCCUCCUGGGCACUAUUAGGUCUCUGUCCAAUUUUGGCAUCAUCGCAGAUUUGAUUACAGUUUGCAACAGCCUUGGCGAAGGCCCUCGUGGGACACAGGGGCUCGUCGAGUGGGAGCUGGUUGAAGCCGAAUGGAGGUUUGAGCUGUGGGCAGGACACGCUCCGCUCGUGGUAUCACGCACCAGGAUGGAUGCAACUCUGUGUCACGUGUUCAUGUCCUCAGACUGGCAUGGUCCACGCGUUCCAUCCAAAGAGGGGUUCAGAGAUUAAUGAAAAGAUUCUACAAAAGGUCAAAUAGCAGCUCUGAUCGGUGGGUUUGACAGCAGGAGAAUGAUUGGGGGUUUUUUCCUGGUUCUCAUUGGUUUGUGUAGUCUUUUCCCUGCAAACGCUACCUUAAUUAAAUAUCAAAUGAGCAUUAAGAUGAUAUUCCAUGUGGCUUAACAAUGCUAAAUGAAGACAUGUAGCCCUACUGCUGAGCUAUAAACCCUCAGUAAAAAAUGGCUUAAGAACAUACUGAUCGGGUUUUAAGAGCUCUGUAACUGAUACGCAUCUUAUGGUAUCGUUAGGCCUCGAUAAAUCUGUUUCUAAUAAUCGCUAUUUACUGAGGUUUCGCAACUAUGCCUGAGGUACGUAUCUGUUACCUUGUGGUCCAGCCUCAAUAAAUGUGUUUUUAAUAAUCAAUUGGUACUUCAAUAAUAAACAAUAAUUGCUUUAUUAAAUAUGAAUUUGAACAUGUUCUGCAUUUAAGUUGUACUGAAAUCACAUCUUUUUGCUUUUUUAACUCUCAAGGAGCUUUCACUGACCAGCUAUUGGUAGUAGUGUGCACCAAACAUUACUGUUCCUCAUAGAGCAUCACUGACUUUGCCUGAUUUAUGACUCGUGACAAUAUUUCAGUGCUUUGUUUCUACCUUAGCCUAAGCAGUCUAUCAGUUGCUUCCAAGCAAUCUUCCUGGGAGAAAUGCAGCAGUCCCUCUUAUGGAUCAUUAACUGGAAAUGAACUUGGGACCUUCAGAUGUAAACACACCGCCUUCUGCCAUGCGACCUAGCAGACCAACACUUUUAGUUGUCAGUACAAGUAAUAGUGGGCCUGCAUCUCAAGCCAAGUCUUCAGAGUCAGAUGCUCCCAUGGCACAGACAUACGGACUCACCUGCCACGGACUGCCCUCCUCUGCCGCUGCCAGUGCUGUGGGUGCUCUGAAGCUGCAUGGGUGGCCCUGCGCCCUGCUGGCCAUGCUACGCUGCUUCCGACAUUGCCGUGCUUGGCAGAGAGUGGGCUUUUGUCUUUGAAGUAUGAGGAGGUUUGUCUCCUUCCCAUCAGUGUCUAAAGCAGGUUUUCUUCCCAGGGCUGGUUCAGGAUUCUGCUGAGCGUGAUGGAGUGUGGCGACAUAUCCCUGGACUUCAGAGAGGCCAGUCGUGGACAGGAGGCAUCUGCUCUUUGUUGGGUUGGAGACAGGACAAUGAGCUAGGUGGACCUUUGGUGUGACGGUUUGCUCAUUCUUCUGAUCUUCGGUUGAGUGGCAAUGGUGGAUGUUGGCUGUCGCCUGGAACAGGAUGAGGUAUGAGCUCUCGUGUUAUUUUGACUGGAAGCUGUGACCACCCUGCAUGGUUGGGCCAUCGUGGUGAGUUGCUGCAGGUCCCACGAGAUCCACAGGGUUGGUCUGGUGCUGCUUGGAACCGGCACCCCAUGCACGGGAGGAGCUGUCAGCCCAGGCUACCGCAAUACUUCUUGAUAUGUUUUCCUACCUUAGUGAUAAUACCCGGCCUCCACAUCUCCCUGGCGCACAGGAACCCAUGACAGUCUGGGCUGCCUCCAUCUUCAUUCUCUUGACCUGGGAAUGGUGCUUACUCCCUGAGGAGUCCAACUAUGAGACCCUGGAGAAAGCAGAGCUCAGCAGCUUUAGCUAGAGACUGCAGGACUCACUUUAGUCUCCCAGUCCACAGCAUGGUCCUGCCUUUCACUGACACCCAUCAUCACGGGAACCCUGGGGACAGGCUGGUCUUCACAGAGGUCAUAAAAGUGACUUGCUGGAAGGUGAUUUUCCUCCAAGUGACUGAGUGCACGGUGUGCAUGCAUGCCAUGGUACCCGGUUUGCCAGAUGGCUCCCUGGCAUCCGAUCAGGGCUUUUCCAUGCAGCAGGGAAGAAUGUAGUUGAGAAGGCUGAUAAAUGGUCUGUGAAGAUUUGUCUGGUACCAUUUUGAUCUUCAGGGAAUGAGGACCUCAUUGCAGAUCAAAUGUCUGGUCUUUUGCUGGCAUAAAUCAACAUAACUCUACCAAACUUAAUGGAGUUGUGCUGAUUUACACCAGCUGAAUUUAUACCAUCAAUAAUCAUUCAUUUGCUCUGCCUCUUCUCCAUUUUUCCCCUCUCCUUGGAUUAGAAACGAAGUCUAUAAAGCUAAUGUGGUCCCUGCAGCAGCAUAACUUCCACAGAGUGUUUGCUUGAAGAGGUUAAAAGCCCUAUAAACUGCUUUACAUUCUCUAAUAAUAGAAUGCAGAUGCAAAGGGGAAGGAUUUGAUGGUCAAUUAAUGCAGAAACUAUCCAGUGCUUUGCAUAGGUCCUACUCCCUGGCUUUGAAAUACAAUGCCCAAUUAAAAUCUUACCCAGAACUAUACCGAGAUUAAAAACGUAACAAUAAUCUGCAGCGCUCCAGGUAGCAUGCUGCAGUUUUCAGGGUGCCUCUGAGCUGUUCCUCAUAAACUCUUGGAUAAGAUUUGUCUGGGUGUUUCCAAUUGCAACUGCUCCUGGAGAAAAGCCGUGAAGUAGCAUUCAGCUGGUGAAGCUGAAGAGAGGGUUAUUUUACGGAGGAAAAGGAGGGGGGUAGGAUGGGUAAGGAAAGUGUUGACAAUCCCUUGUGCAUUCUUCUGAAAGGAAAAGAAAAUGAUUACUGUAAAUGUUCUGCCCUUCAGCUGCGUUUUCCCGAGGUCUCACUGCUGUGCCAGGCCAGGCAGUGCCCACAGAGUGGCUCCGGGGUUGGGACGGGCUGACACAGCUCCAGCAUAUUCCAGUAACUUACUUUGCAGUUGGGUUGAGUAUCACUUGCUCCAGCUCUUAGGGGCGGGUGGUGUUGAUGACCUGUCAGGAUGCCUCUACAUGCGAUGGUGGCUCCAGAGGAGCAGUGCAGUCUGUGAGCAGACGGUAUUUGGUGGAGGGAGAGGCUGGGGCUGCAGUAGUGUGGGAAGGAUCUGGGUGUAAUAACCCAGAAGGUGGGAUGAAAGCCCUUCUCUUUCAGUAGUCCACACCACAAGUAGGAGCUGAAAGGGAAGAAGGCAGUUUGGGCAGUGAGGAGCACCGACAGUAAUUAAUCAGGGUAACAGCCAACCCCUUCUUGGCUCUAAAGCUUACUCACUGGCAAAAGACACCGAUGUGGAAAUAUAUCACAUUCUUUUAAGGGCUCUAGUAAUUUACUUGCUGUGCAGAGCAACAGAAAGGGUGAAAAAGCAGGGCUCUGCAUCCCUGUGGUACCUGGAGACACUUUUCUUCAGGACUGAGCCGAAGGGCAUGGGCUGCCUCAGCCAGAGAGACCCUCCCCUGGGCUGCUGGGGCGUCUGGGCUGAGCCCACUCCUUGGUCAGCUCCUGCUGGCUAGUGCCUCUCCGCAUUAAUCAGAAGGGAUGGGGAUCACAUCACUGCCCUUAACCACCAAAAACUCGUGUAGCUCAUACAGCCAUUUAUUUGUCAGCCUGUGCGGUCAGCACUCCUCUCUUCAAGGAAAAUUCAUGCAUUUAAUAGCAGAGCUCUGAGGAAGACCAGUUCCUUUCUCGUUCAGGGUCUCCUUCGUUGUGCACAGAGCAAACGGGGGCUGGGGCAGGGAUACGCAGUGGUGGCUUCCCCUGGUGCUGAGCAGCAGGCAUGGCAAAUCCAUCUGUGAGGCAUCAAACCCCUGAUGGCAGCCCAGCGUGCCUCGCUGUUCGCUCUCUGCCUCGCUUUUUCUCCUUUUCAUGG
This is a long non-coding RNA of Falco peregrinus (peregrine falcon), 10156 nucleotides long. RefSeq lists it as uncharacterized. NCBI's taxonomy places the organism in Eukaryota, Metazoa, Chordata, Aves, Falconiformes, Falconidae. The record is from RefSeq and is a predicted model, not a curated record. The transcript has 8 exons.